GAUCUUCAAAUAACAAGAUUCGAUUGAUUUUGAGUCGAGAUUCGAGCUCGAGCCUUUAGCGAUCCAACUUGGCUCAACUUAAUUGCACCAUUAACGUACCAUCGCAUAACCUGAUCAUUCAAUAAGAUUACACAAGAAAAAAAAAUGGAAAACAUAGUAAGACUUUGCAAUACAUUUAUAUCCAUAAGUACUGGCUAGUUGAAUACAUAUAAACAU
Molecule: long non-coding RNA, 216 nt
Filed under: Elaeis guineensis (African oil palm)
Lineage: Eukaryota; Viridiplantae; Streptophyta; Magnoliopsida; Arecales; Arecaceae
Description: long non-coding RNA (EGUI_LNC031481)
Source: RNAcentral